UUAUAGUCUAUGAAAAUAUUUGGAACAUCCCUUUUUUCUGGAAAAAGCCUUUUUAGAGCUGUUAUAUCCUUCACACCUUUGAAAAAAUAUGUGCAAAAUGAGUUGAGCAUAUUUUUUGUAAACAUUAUGCAUAAUAUGGAACUCCAGUAUAAAAAUAUGCAUAAUAAUAUUUUUUAGAUAGUUUACUUUCACUAUCGAAUUAAAAAACCUCAAAGUUAAGGAAUAUGCAUAUGAGCUGUCUCUUGUAAACCUGACUUCUGUCUAUUAAUGAUUCCGAGCGCGUGCACGCAUAUUCAGCAUAAAAAAAGAGUUCGCACUUCUAUCAUCUUUCUGCAUACUCAGUUCACACAUUUUUAUAACACCUACGGAAAUCUUUAAAAACAAAUAUCUCGUUAGUAAAUUUUCGCAUAUAUGCCUUUACGUUUGUGGUCUCUUUUUCCGAAAGCUUCCUAUUGGCUCAUUGAAAUUUUCGGUAAUGAAAAGCUGAAUAAAUUAUGCACAAAAGGUUCCCGGAUUUUUUUGUAUAAAUUACUGAUUAGCGAAUUAUGACGACAGAAAGAAAAAAAUAUGCAUUUUUUUGAAUGAUUAUAUAUAAUUACAAAUAAUUUCAUAACGACGUUAUUAGAAAAAAAAAACGGGAACCUUUUUAAAUUUAAUUUAUGUUAAAUAUAAUGGUGCAAAAACGAGAAGUCUGCGACCACGCGUUCGGAAAAAGAAGCCAUUUUAAAACGUACGGUGAAAAAAAAUUGGUGUGUGUUUAUUUCAUAAUAUUUUCUUUUUGGAAAAUUACCAUCUCACGAAAAUAACACCAUCAAAAAAGUCUUUCAUCAAGCAUUCAGAAACAAAAAAAACAUAAAAAAAUAUAUAAAAGUAUUGAUAAAUUAUAAGGGUUUUUCUGAGACUACUUAUCAAGUGAGUUUUUCCUUUACAGUAACCUUAGUACGGUCUACGACCAAUUAUGAUGUGUGUUAUACAUUUUCAAAAUUAUCGCCUAAAAAAGCCCUCUAACCUUAUAAAAUUAGUUAAUAAAGCAUAAAAAGGAUAAAAUAUGAAAUUGAAUGACUUGUUAACAUGACAACAGACGUGACAUCACACAAACUAUUUUGACUGUCCUACAGUUAACUGAAAAUGAUGAAAAGUCACUAAAUUUCAAUCAGAAAAACCUGUCUGUUUCAGUAUUUGUUACAAAAACACUGGGGUGGGGAGGGGGGGGAGGAAGGGGGGAACUACAUAUGUAUACCUCCCUGGUUAAAACGAUAUCACAUCUUUUUCUCCUUUUUUUAUUAAGACAUUAAGCUUGAACGUUCCUGCACAAGAGACUACACAGGUAUUCCGAAUGGUUAUGUUGAAGUAAAAGCAAACACAGGAACUAAAAUCUUGCCGCGUAAAAUACAAGAAGAGUUGUAUCAAGACUUGAAAUGCGCAAUUACAAGACUGAAAUUUAUCACCCUUGAUCGAAAGGCACAUGGUCCUGCAUUAACUUUGAAAAUCACUCGGCCGGAAUCACACAAAGUUGUUCCAUCUAUCUCAACCAAUCAAAUCAGUCUUGUUGAUUUCAACUGGCCGAGAAUUCAAACAAAGAAAGUGUUGUCUAACAGACUGAUCAAUGCAAUCCACGCUGCUGGUUUGCACUUAAUACCAAAGAAUGUGUUGUUUUGAUACGUAUCGGUCUCCAAAGCAGGAAACACUUUAAUGAACGGCUGGACGUUGAAGACAGUGGGUGUCGAAGUUAUUGCCACAAACUGCUAAAAGCAGACUUUCAUGGAUGGAAAAAGCAAUCCGCCAAUGGGUUACCAGGAAUAUCAACAAUGCUUUUUAAGCAUCAAUUGUUCUGGAUGAAUGAAGAGAAUCCAAACAAGGAUUGGUCCAAAUAUUGCCUGCAUGAAAGAUACAUUAAUAUGCUUGAUGAUUUGAUUUUACGUUUGAGAAACGGAUCAUUAUAUAACUAUUUUCGAGAU
Long non-coding RNA from Hydractinia symbiolongicarpus, 1958 nucleotides. RefSeq lists it as uncharacterized. The record is from RefSeq and is a predicted model, not a curated record. NCBI's taxonomy places the organism in Eukaryota, Metazoa, Cnidaria, Hydrozoa, Anthoathecata, Hydractiniidae. The transcript is spliced from 3 exons.